RNAcentral lists this small RNA (125 nucleotides) under Marmota monax (woodchuck). The record is from RNAcentral. Lineage: Eukaryota; Metazoa; Chordata; Mammalia; Rodentia; Sciuridae.
GCCAGGCGCGGUGGCACAUGCCUGUGAUCCCAGCAGCUCCGGAGGCUGAGACAGGAGGAUCACCAGUUCAAAGUCAGCCUUAGCAAAAGUGAGGCGUGAAGCAACUCAGUGAGACCCCGUCUCUA